RNAcentral lists this ribosomal RNA (615 nucleotides) under Microbacteriaceae bacterium Se2Pt_440. RNAcentral's name for it is "bacterial SSU rRNA". It matches the Rfam family "Bacterial small subunit ribosomal RNA", at positions 397 to 1016 of the family's 1533-position model. Lineage: Bacteria; Bacillati; Actinomycetota; Actinomycetes; Micrococcales; Microbacteriaceae. The record is from RNAcentral.
CCGCGUGAGGUGAUGACGGCCUUCGGGUUGUAAACCUCUUUUAUUAGGGAAGAAGGGCUUCCGCUUGACGGUACCUGGUUAAAAAGCACCGGCUAACUACGUGCCAGCAUCCGCGGUAAUACGUAGGGUGCAAGCGUUGUCCGGAAUUAUUGGGCGUAAAAAGCUCGUAGGCGGUUUGUCGCGUCUGCUGUGAAAACCCGAGGCUCAACCUCGGGCCUGCACUGGGUACGGGCAGACUAGAGUGCGGUAGGGGAGAAUGGAAUUCCAGGUGUAGCGAUGGAAUGCGCAAAUAUCAAGAGGAACACCGAUGGCGAAGGCCGUUCUCUGGGCCGGAACUGACGCUGAGGAGCGAAAGCGUGGGGAGCGAACAGGAUUAGAUACCCUGGUAAUCCACGCCCUAGACGUUGGGCGCUAGAUGUGGGGACCUUUCCACGGUUUCCGUGUCGCAGCUAACGCAAUAAGCGCCCCGCCGGGGGAGUACGGCCGCAAGGCUAAAACUCACAGGAAUUGACGGGGGCCCGCACAAGCGGCGGAGCAUGCGGAUUAAUUCGAUGCAGCGCGAAGAACCUUACCAAGGCUUGACAUAUACGAGAACGGGCCAGAAAUGGUCAACUC